AUACGGAGGGUGCGAGCGUUGUUCGGAAUUAUUGGGCGUAAAGAGCAUGUAGGCGGUCUGUUAAGUCUGGUGUGAAAGCCCGGGGCUCAACCCCGGAAGUGCAUUGGAUACUGGCAGACUUGAGUAUGGGAGAGGAAAGCGGAAUUCCGAGUGUAGGAGUGAAAUCCGUAGAUAUUCGGAGGAACACCAGUGGCGAAGGCGGCUUUCUGGACCAAUACUGACGCUGAGAUGCGAAAGCGUGGGGAGCGAACAGGAUUAGAUACCCUAGUAGUCC
Molecule: ribosomal RNA, 274 nt
Filed under: uncultured bacterium
Lineage: Bacteria
Description: partial 16S ribosomal RNA
Rfam family: Bacterial small subunit ribosomal RNA
Source: RNAcentral